GUAUGAUUCUUUACCGUCGCCGACAAGGCGUUAGCCAGGCCGAUCGACGCAUUAAUGACAUUCUAAGACAUACGUUUGGGGGUAGAUAAAGACAUAGAUCCCUUGCGGGACCUACAAUAAGGUGCACAGGUGUUGAGAAAGGUCUCCAAAAGGAAGAGCGAUCGAGGACUAAGGAGAGCUCGGAACGUGCACAUGCCUUCGUUGCCAAAGGCCAGCGACAAUCCCUACGAUCUACCAAACUUCGCCCGAUCAUCUCCCCCGUUCGGAUUUGCUUUUCGAUAAUGAUCCUUCCGCAGGUUCACCUACGGAAA
RNAcentral lists this unclassified non-coding RNA (311 nucleotides) under uncultured fungus. Its description in RNAcentral is "sequence contains ITS1". The record is from RNAcentral. Lineage: Eukaryota; Fungi.